GAGGGUAUAGCUCAAUUAGUAGAGUGCAUGCUUAGCAUGAGAUCCUGGGUUCAAUCCCCAGUACCUCCU
This 69-nucleotide transfer RNA is filed under the name Camelus bactrianus (Bactrian camel). It matches the Rfam family "tRNA". Rfam says of the family: Transfer RNA (tRNA) molecules are approximately 80 nucleotides in length. Their secondary structure includes four short double-helical elements and three loops (D, anti-codon, and T loops). The record is from Rfam by way of RNAcentral. RNAcentral also lists the same sequence under 1 other name. Lineage: Eukaryota; Metazoa; Chordata; Mammalia; Artiodactyla; Camelidae.